CCUACGGGAGGCUGCAGUGAGGAAUAUUGGUCAAUGGACGGAAGUCUGAACCAGCCAUGCCGCGUGCAGGAAGACGGCUCUAUGAGUUGUAACCUGCUUUUGUACAAGGGUAAACCUGAAUACGUGUAUUCCGCUGAGCGUACUGUACGAAUAAGGUUCGGCUAACUCCGUGCCAGCCGCCGCGCUAAUACGGAGGAUCCAAGCGUUAUCCGGAUUUAUUGGGUUUAAAGGGUGCGUAGGCGGAUUGAUAAGUUAGAGGUGAAAUGUCCGAGCUUAACUCGGGAACUGCCUCUAAUACUGUUGAGCUAGAGAGUAGAUGCGGUAGGCGGAAUGUAUGGUGUAGCAGUGAAAUGCUUAGAUAUCAUACAGAACACCGAUUGCGAAGGCAGCUUACCAAGCUAUAUCUGACGUUGAGGCACGAAAGCGUGGGGAGCAAACAGGAUUAGAUACCCGAGUAGUC
RNAcentral lists this ribosomal RNA (460 nucleotides) under uncultured bacterium. RNAcentral describes it as "partial 16S ribosomal RNA". It matches the Rfam family "Bacterial small subunit ribosomal RNA", at positions 338 to 795 of the family's 1533-position model. The record is from RNAcentral.